This 124-nucleotide microRNA precursor is filed under the name Pelobates cultripes (western spadefoot toad). Lineage: Eukaryota; Metazoa; Chordata; Amphibia; Anura; Pelobatidae. The record is from RNAcentral.
GUUUCCCAACCAAGUCCUCAUGGACCACCAACAGUCCAGUUUUUGUCAGUAUCUCCAUUGGAAUAAAACAGGGAAAUGCAUAAAUUCUGGACUGUUGGUGGUCCAUGAGGACUGGGUUGGGGAA